AGCCACAGGGAAUUAUAUGUGGUUUGACCUGCCCAAUGUGAAUGAGUGAAUGGCCGCGGUACUUUGACCGUGCUAAGGUAGCGUAAUCAGUUGGCUUUUAAAUGGAGUCGAGAAUGAAUGGGGUAACUGGGUUGAGCUGUCUCCUGCUUAAUUUUUUGAAUUUACUUUAUAGGUGAAAAAGCCUGUAUUAUGAAAAAAGACGAGAAGACCCUUAGAAUUUCACUUAAAUCAGUAAAAUAAAUUGUUACUAGAACGGUUUUGUUGGGGUGACAAAGAAUAGAUGUUUAAACUUUCUGUUGUAGACGUGCCGAUUAUGUUAUGAGAGAGUAAAUUACCUGAGGGAUAACAGCAUAAUUUUAGUAUUAAGUUUGUGACCUCGAUGUUGGAUUAGGAUACUAGCAAGCUAGCCGUUUGUUGUGUUGGUUCUGUUCGAACUUAUAAUACCU
This 446-nucleotide ribosomal RNA is filed under the name Bornella stellifera. RNAcentral's name for it is "partial 16S ribosomal RNA". It matches the Rfam family "Archaeal large subunit ribosomal RNA", at positions 1921 to 2666 of the family's 2987-position model. Lineage: Eukaryota; Metazoa; Mollusca; Gastropoda; Nudibranchia; Bornellidae. The record is from RNAcentral.